RNAcentral lists this unclassified non-coding RNA (240 nucleotides) under soil metagenome. Its description in RNAcentral is "partial contains 5.8S ribosomal RNA, internal transcribed spacer 2, and large subunit ribosomal RNA". The record is from RNAcentral.
AACCAUAGAAACCUGCGGAGUACCUGCGGAAGGAUCAUUACAGAGUUGCAAAACUCCCACAAACCAUCGCGAAUCUUACCCGUACGGUUGCCUCGGCGCUGGCGGUCCGGAAGGCCCUCGGGCCCCCGGACCCUCGGGUCCCCCGCUCGCGGGGGGCUGCCCGCCGGAGUGCCGAAACCAAACUCUUGAUAUUUUAUGUCUCUCUGAGUAAACUUUUAAAUAAGUCAAAACUUUCAACAA